RNAcentral lists this ribosomal RNA (253 nucleotides) under uncultured bacterium. RNAcentral's name for it is "partial 16S ribosomal RNA". It matches the Rfam family "Bacterial small subunit ribosomal RNA", at positions 524 to 776 of the family's 1533-position model. The record is from RNAcentral.
UACAGAGGGGGCAAGCGUUGUUCGGAAUUACUGGGCGUAAAGGGCGCGUAGGCGGCCUUCUAAGUCGAACGUGAAAUCCCUGGGCUCAACCCAGGAACUGCGUCCGAGACUGGGAGGCUAGAAUCCGGGAGAGGGAUGUGGAAUUCCAGGUGUAGCGGUGAAAUGCGUUGAUAUCGCUAGGAACUCCGGUGGCGAAGGCGAGGUGCUGGACCCUUUCUGACGCUGAGGCGCGAAAGCCAGGGGAGCGAACGGG